RNAcentral lists this ribosomal RNA (507 nucleotides) under Agrilus hastulifer. RNAcentral describes it as "partial 16S ribosomal RNA". The stretch from base 265 to 423 matches the Rfam family "Bacterial large subunit ribosomal RNA", at positions 2473 to 2632 of the family's 2925-position model. Lineage: Eukaryota; Metazoa; Arthropoda; Insecta; Coleoptera; Buprestidae. The record is from RNAcentral.
AAUGAUUGGACAAGAAACUUUCUGUCUCAGAUUUAUUUUUUGAAUUUUAUUUCUUAGUCAAAAAGCUUAAAUUGUUUUGUAAGACGAGAAGACCCUAUAGAGUUUAAUAUUUAUUUUUACAUUUAGAUUUUAGAAUUAUAAUCUUUUGUUUAGUAAAAUAUUUGGUUGGGGUGACAGAAAAAUUUAUUGAACUUUUUAUUUAUAAAAUAUAAAUUAAUAGGUUAUUGACUUAUAUAAAUAGUUAAAAGACUAAAUUACCUUAGGGAUAACAGCGUAAUUUUUCUAAAGAGUUCAUAUCGAAAGAAAAGAUUGCGACCUCGAUGUUGGAUUAAAGUUAAAAUUUGGUGCAGAAGCUAAAUUGUUUAGUCUGUUCGACUAUUAAAACUUUACAUGAUCUGAGUUUAAACCGGCGUGAGCCAGGUUGGUUUCUAUCUUCAAUAAGUUAAAAUAUUUUAGUACGAAAGGACCAAAUAUUUUUUAUAUUAAUUUAUUUAUUUGAAUAAAAUU